UACAAACCAUAUACAGCAUUUUCUUUCUUUUUCUUCCCAUGUGCUAUAAAUAUGUAUGGAAUUAUAAAAUUUAAUAAUUCAGAUUACCAUAUAAAUAAAAGCGUAACAGAUGCCAAUGCAUAUAUGAAAAGGACUGCCCAAGAAAAAUAAUACAAUGAAAUAAAAUAGAAAUUGAACAAUAUCUUUUAAAUGGAAAUGAGGAAGGAAGAAAGAAAGAAAAAAAGAAAAAAAGAAAAAAAGAAAAAAAGAAAAAAAGAAAAAAAGAAAAAAAGAAAAAAAGAAAAUCGUAUAAUAUUUCCUAAAGAAAUAAAAUAUUAUAUUAUAUAUAUAUAUAUAUAUAUAUAUAUAUAUAUAGUUGAAUGGUUUAAUAAUAUAGAACAAAUUGAAUAUUUUUUUUUAAGAAUGUGUAAAAAAGUAUAAAUGAUAAACGUAUAUACGUUUUAAUUUAAAAAACCAAAAAAAACCAAAAAAUAAUAAUGAAU
Molecule: non-coding RNA, 482 nt
Organism: Plasmodium reichenowi
Lineage: Eukaryota; Apicomplexa; Aconoidasida; Haemosporida; Plasmodiidae
Source: RefSeq, a predicted model, not a curated record